UACAGAGAGUGCAAGCGUUAAUCGGAAUUACUGGGCGUAAAGCGCGCGUAGGUGGAUAUUUAAGUCGGAUGUGAAAUCCCUGGGCUUAACCUAGGAAUUGCAUUCGAUACUGGGCAUCUAGAGUAUGGUAGAGGGAAGUGGAAUUUCCGGUGUAGCGGUGAAAUGCGUAGAUAUCGGAAAGAACAUCAGUGGCGAAGGCGGCUUCCUGGACCAAUACUGACACUGAAGCGCGAAAGCGUGGGGAGCAAACAGG
This 253-nucleotide ribosomal RNA is filed under the name uncultured bacterium. RNAcentral describes it as "partial 16S ribosomal RNA". It matches the Rfam family "Bacterial small subunit ribosomal RNA", at positions 524 to 776 of the family's 1533-position model. The record is from RNAcentral.